UUCAAAUGUUCAUAAAUGACCAGCAUGGUCGAAUAAUAAUAAGGCAGAACAGUUGAAACUGGAGCAGCAGCACAGUCAGGUGGAAGUUGAAACUGGAGCAGCAGCAUGGCCAGGUGGACUGGGGACAGCAAGGAGUCAUCAUGUCAGAUAGUCCUGGGGCAUGGUCCUAGGGCUCAGGUCCUCCGAGAGAGAGAAAGAAAGAGAGAAGGAGAGAAUUAGAGAACGCACACUUAGAUUCACACAGGACACCGAAUAGGACAGGAGAAGUACUCCAGAUAUAACA
Molecule: long non-coding RNA, 283 nt
Organism: Oncorhynchus tshawytscha (Chinook salmon)
Lineage: Eukaryota; Metazoa; Chordata; Actinopteri; Salmoniformes; Salmonidae
Source: Ensembl